Molecule: ribosomal RNA, 253 nt
Filed under: uncultured bacterium
Lineage: Bacteria
Description: partial 16S ribosomal RNA
Rfam family: Bacterial small subunit ribosomal RNA
Source: RNAcentral
CACGUAAGGGGCGAGCGUUGUUCGGAAUUAUUGGGCGUAAAGGGCACGCAGGCGGCCUGACAAGUCUGAUGUGAAAGACCUGGGCUCAACUCAGGGGACGCGUUGGAAACUGUUAGGCUAGAGUAUCUGAGGGGGAGUCGGAAUUCCUAGUGUAGGGGUGAAAUCUGUUGAUAUUAGGAAGAACACCGGUGGCGAAGGCGGACUUCUGGCAGGAUACUGACGCUGAGGUGCGAAAGCAUAGGGAGCAAACAGG